CAUGCAAGUCGAACGGCAGCAUAGAGAGCUUGCUCUCUGAUGGCGAGUGGCGAACGGGUGAGUAAUAUAUCGGAACGUGCCUAGUAAUGGGGAAUAACUAGCUGAAAGGUUAGCUAAUGCCGCAUACGACCUACGGGUGAAAGCAGGGGAUCUUCGGACCUUGCGUUAUUAGAGCGGCCGAUAUCUGAUUAGCUUGUUGGUGGGGUAAUGGCCUACCAAGGCGACGAUCAGUAGCUGGUCUGAGAGGACGAUCAGCCACACUGGAACUGAGACACGGUCCAGACUCCUACGGGAGGCAGCAGUGGGGAAUUUUGGACAAUGGGGGCAACCCUGAUCCAGCCAUUCCGCGUGAGUGAAGAAGGCCUUCGGGUUGUAAAGCUCUUUCGCAAGAGAAGAAAACUUACUAUCUAAUAAAUAGUAAGUAUGACGGUAUCUUGACAAGAAGCACCGGCUAACUACGUGCCAGCAGCCGCGGUAAUACGUAGGGUGCAAGCGUUAAUCGGAAUUACUGGGCGUAAAGCGUGCGCAGGCAGUUUUAUAAGUCAGAUGUGAAAUCCCCGAGCUCAACUUGGGAACUGCGUUUGAAACUGUAAGACUAGAGUGUGUCAGAGGGGGGUAGAAUUCCAAGUGUAGCAGUGAAAUGCGUAGAG
RNAcentral lists this ribosomal RNA (650 nucleotides) under uncultured bacterium. Its description in RNAcentral is "bacterial SSU rRNA". It matches the Rfam family "Bacterial small subunit ribosomal RNA", at positions 54 to 695 of the family's 1533-position model. The record is from RNAcentral.